Molecule: ribosomal RNA, 253 nt
Filed under: uncultured bacterium
Lineage: Bacteria
Description: partial 16S ribosomal RNA
Rfam family: Bacterial small subunit ribosomal RNA
Source: RNAcentral
UACGAAGGGGGCUAGCGUUGCUCGGAAUCACUGGGCGUAAAGGGUGCGUAGGCGGGUCUUUAAGUCAGGGGUGAAAUCCUGGAGCUCAACUCCAGAACUGCCUUUGAUACUGAAGAUCUUGAGUUCGGGAGAGGUGAGUGGAACUGCGAGUGUAGAGGUGACAUUCGUAGAUAUUCGCAAGAACACCAGUGGCGAAGGCGGCUCACUGGCCCGAUACUGACGCUGAGGCACGAAAGCGUGGGGAGCAAACAGG